AUUGAACGCUGGCGGCAUGCCUUACACAUGCAAAUCGAACGGUAACGGGCCUUCGGGUGCCGCCGAGUGGCGAACGGGUGAGUAAUACAUCGGAACGUGCCCGAUCGUGGGGGAUAACGAGGCGAAAGCUUUGCUAAUACCGCAUACGAUCUACGGAUGACAGCAGGGGACCGCAAGGCCUUGCGCGGACGGAGCGGCCGAUGGCAGAUUAGGUAGUUGGUGGGAUAAAAGCUUACCAAGCCGACGAUCUGUAGCUGGUCUGAGAGGAUGAUCAGCCACACUGGGACUGAGACACGGCCCAGACUCCUACGGGAGGCAGCAGUGGGGAAUUUUGGACAAUGGGCGCAAGCCUGAUCCAGCCAUGCCGCGUGCAGGAUGAAGGCCUUCGGGUUGUAAACUGAUUUUGUACGGAACGAAAAGCCUUCUUUUAAUACAGGAGGGUCAUGACGGUACCGUAAGAAUAAGCACCGGCUAACUACGUG
Molecule: ribosomal RNA, 482 nt
Filed under: uncultured bacterium
Lineage: Bacteria
Description: partial 16S ribosomal RNA
Rfam family: Bacterial small subunit ribosomal RNA
Source: RNAcentral